Molecule: transfer RNA, 95 nt
Filed under: Gammaproteobacteria bacterium
Lineage: Bacteria; Pseudomonadati; Pseudomonadota; Gammaproteobacteria
Also listed under: 1 other name
Description: tRNA-Sec
Rfam family: Selenocysteine transfer RNA
Source: RNAcentral
GGGGGCGGAUCGGGUCUGGUGGCCCGAACGGUCUUCAAAACCGUCUCGGCCGGCGACCCCGGCUGGGUGGGUUCGAUUCCCACACGCUCCCGCCA